CGGCAUCAGCGUGCUCCGGGCGU
Molecule: small RNA, 23 nt
Filed under: Arabidopsis thaliana (thale cress)
Lineage: Eukaryota; Viridiplantae; Streptophyta; Magnoliopsida; Brassicales; Brassicaceae
Description: Ath_wt_09482
Source: RNAcentral